This is a long non-coding RNA of Tachysurus fulvidraco (yellow catfish), 1135 nucleotides long. RefSeq lists it as uncharacterized. NCBI's taxonomy places the organism in Eukaryota, Metazoa, Chordata, Actinopteri, Siluriformes, Bagridae. The record is from RefSeq and is a predicted model, not a curated record. The transcript has 3 exons.
CAGCGGUAGAAUUUCACACCACACAGGUUGAAGCUCGCUCUCUAUUAGCGUUCGGAAAUCUCGACUGGUGAAAGUUGGAUAUCGAAGGUGUUAUGGAAUGAUAGAAUCUCCAUCACCUGCAGUAAAGAGAGCUGACCGUGCAACAUCUCCGCCUAACGUUUCACCUGAUCAAUUAUUCAGACUGGCACUAUUGGCCGUAUAUCAGUGGCUGCGGCGUGCUGACAGACUUGAUAUUCGUCACCUUUUCAGUCUGGCUCCUGAAGAAACUGCACUUGUUUUCUCUCUCUCUCUGUCUGUCUCUUUCUCUCUCUCUCUCAGACUUUACCCAUACUGCUCUCUGUCCUUCUAUCUCCAUCUUGUUCUUCUUCUCUUCUUUUAGCAUCAAUAACCCGCUCUGGCCCUGAGUGCUCUUUUGGGAUAACAAAACACUGACAUUGACAACAGUUGAAGAGUUCUGUGAAGACACAACUUAAUGUGGAUCAUGUCGGCAUACUGUAAUCCAGUUCACACACACACACACACACACACACACACACACACACACACACACACACACACACACACACACACACACACACACACACACACACACACAUAUACGCACUCGCAAACUCAUUCAUCUUUUUUUUUAAUGGAGCAGGAAGAAGCCAUGCUCCAUUCAGUUACCAGAAAAAGAAUCUGACACAUACGUUCCCCAAUGCCUAUAAAAAGAGAGUGUGCAUCUGCACUAAGCUUAACUGAGACACAGCCUACGCAAUACACACUCAAUUUUCAACUAGCCUGCUAUUUUCAUUCAGUUAAAUAUAAAUUUGAUGGCAACUUAGAACCUGGAAUAGAUGGAGGAUGUGUGUGUAUAUCAAGCUGAGGAGAGAAAAUGGGGAACAGUCUUUUUUUCCAGCAAGGAUGUUGCCUGCAAACAACAAAUCUCUCCUCCUUUCAGCUGACCCAAGUGUGACGACACAGCAACAGCUGGCUACGUCAGUCCUCGGGUAACAAAGCCUGAUGCUAAAUUCAGCUCCCAGACUUUAUUUCUGUUCCAAACUAAACUUAGAAGGUCUAAAGUUGCUGUGUUUUCAGGAGCCAAACAUAUGACCUUCAGAUGCAUUGUGAGUCUUAAUACAAAUACAAAUCCACA